AGUGAACGCUGGCGGUAGGCCUAACACAUGCAAGUCGAACGGCAGCACAGUAAGAGCUUGCUCUUACGGGUGGCGAGUGGCGGACGGGUGAGGAAUACAUCGGAAUCUACUUUUUCGUGGGGGAUAACGUAGGGAAACUUACGCUAAUACCGCAUACGACCUACGGGUGAAAGCAGGGGAUCUUCGGACCUUGCGCGAUUGAAUGAGCCGAUGUCAGAUUAGCUAGUUGGCGGGGUAAAGGCCCACCAAGGCGACGAUCCGUAGCUGGUCUGAGAGGAUGAUCAGCCACACUGGAACUGAGACACGGUCCAGACUCCGACGGGAGGCAGCAGUGGGGAAUAUUGGACAAUGGGCGCAAGCCUGAUCCAGCCAUACCGCGUGGGUGAAGAAGGCCUUCGGGUUGUAAAGCCCUUUUGUUGGGAAAGAAAAGCAGCAGGUUAAUACCCCGCUGUUCUGACGGUACCCAAAGAAUAAGCACCGGCUAACUUCGUG
Molecule: ribosomal RNA, 492 nt
Filed under: uncultured bacterium
Lineage: Bacteria
Description: partial 16S ribosomal RNA
Rfam family: Bacterial small subunit ribosomal RNA
Source: RNAcentral